AUAAUAUCAUCAUACAGCGCACACAUGAAUUAGCUUAUUCUGGGAAUCUUAACACCGAUUUGAGACCACAAAGAAUAGUGUUUCUAAGAGUUAACGGUAAUGAUGUGCUCCACAAAUAUCUGAGCUCCGUUUCUACUUAACCAAUUUGUGCCGAUUUGUUUUUCAAUGGCCGUUUUCACUUUUACACAAGCAGCCACAGUUCCCAAACUGAGCAUUUAAAGCCUAAUAUUGGCAACAGAAUGAAUAGAUCCCAACUCAAGUGGAAGACAUCUGUAUUCUGGCAUUGGAGUUUAUGUCUCACAGUGGUCAGAAUUCUCGAGGAAUGUACUGUGUGCGAGAUCAGAUGAGUUUAUUUCUUAACAAUCAAUCUAAAUGAAGUUAAAAAUCACAAUCUAAAUGAAGGCUGUAACAUGAAUGAUGCAGACUAAUCGGAUGCAUUGUUUUGUAAAAGGGGUCUACGAUAAAACACUUCAUAAAUCGUGAUUUAUGCGAAAGAUUAUCUUAAAGUGUUCACAAAAAAUAGUAAACAGGGGUGACAAAAUGAAGCACAAUCAAUAGAGAGUUGUUAGUAUCCAACAUGUUAUUGGAGCCGAUCUCUGAAUGGAUGCCAGAUGUUUAAUGCAGAGAUAUUGCAUGGGUAGAUGAUGCGGUGAAUAAUUUUCACAUGUAUGCAAUUAUACUUUUCGUUUUUUCUUGCGUUAACAAAGAAAUUAUUAAUACCUUACCUAGGCUAUUCCUUAUAUCUCAGCUAACCAUUACGUGUUUUAAUCAAAAUAAUUCUCUCCAGCUCAAGACUAUCAGAAAAAUCCAUUAAUUUCUAUUAUCAGGUUCUUGAGUGAAAGGUUGACAAAGCUCUUCACGAAAACUAAUCUGUAUUCGCAUUAACACCGCGUUGUGAAUGAUUUCCUCGCCUGCAUUUUGACCUUUACACCGUUUACUCUUAAGAAUAGAGUAGUGCAAUUUGCAUAUAAAAUUAGUUGGAUCAUUCCGUGAUCCUGUUCAGCUCAAUUGUUUGAUGAAGAAUAUUGGGCUGAAAGAAAUUUUGUAGCAUUUCUAAUGGUGGUUUUACCACGUUGUUCAAGUAAGUUUGUGCGGUGAGGUUUUAAUGGGGACUGCCAUUGAUGUUCCUGACUGGAAGUUUUAGAGUGUUGACAAGAAUUGAUUUGCACACAUUUUAAUUAAAAUAUAAUUUCAGCGCAGAUUUAACGUUUGCAUUUAACUAACAAAAUGUUCGACUUGUUUUAUAUUCCAAAAACAGGAGUAACAACGGGAAAGGGUGACCGCCAAUCGCUUCGCAAUGCGCACAUUCAAUGCUUUGUAGAAAAUCCAAAAUUGUCUCAAUACUGUCUCGUUGAUUUUAAGAUGGAAUCUUUCCACGGAAAGCUUUUUUUUAAAUCUUGGUUUGUGUUCCUGCGCUAGAUUCACCCCGUGUCCCCUAUUCAAACGACGUGUCCAGCUAAUGCUUAAAAAAAAGGCGAGGAAAGGUCAAUAACCUACAAGCUUUGGGACUAAUCGUUGUUUCAUCUCAUUUGGGACCGUUGUUUCGAGGGUUUAAAGUAACGCCGACUCCAUUGAAAGGUCUCACUGUUUUGUCGAACCGUUUGCUGAAUGCGACAGAACCCUAGCCCGUGUUGUCUUAGUCUCAGAAUGAACGUUGGGUUAAUGUUAUUUUAUUUUUGCAGGUAACGUUGUUAUUUGGCACGAGAUUACUUCAUUGCCGAUACAAGGGAAUACAGUUUCCAGUAGAUGUUCUGAUGGGUACCGUUUGGAAUCUGGUCUUUAAAAAGUUUUGCAAAAUGCCAAUUUUGCUUGAUUGCUAUUACCACGACAGUAAAAGCCCAUUAACAGGAAGAAAGGUUACCUUCUGAAAUGCUCCAUCGGGUAUUUUAAGUGCUGCUUGUCGUUGUAUGUAUUUAUUUCAACCAACCUGCAUGAAGGUGCAAAUCAACUACAACGAUGUAUCAGAACCAAU
Chiloscyllium plagiosum (whitespotted bambooshark) is the source of this 1972-nucleotide long non-coding RNA. RefSeq lists it as uncharacterized. The record is from RefSeq and is a predicted model, not a curated record. Lineage: Eukaryota; Metazoa; Chordata; Chondrichthyes; Orectolobiformes; Hemiscylliidae.